RNAcentral lists this long non-coding RNA (583 nucleotides) under Trifolium pratense (red clover). RNAcentral's name for it is "long non-coding RNA (TPRA_LNC012500)". Lineage: Eukaryota; Viridiplantae; Streptophyta; Magnoliopsida; Fabales; Fabaceae. The record is from RNAcentral.
UAACAUAUUAUUUUGUAAAAAAAAAACAUUAAUCAUGUAGUGACAUUAACUCUCUAUAUCUUCUAAAAUAAAGAUAGACAAGAACACUUGCAUAAUUUAAUAUGCUUAUUUGGCAAAGAACAUAAAUGUGAUAUAUAUAUAUAUAUAUAAAUCUAAAUCUACGCUAGCUUGAGAUAAAUCAUACAUCAGAGUUAUAAGAAUGUGACUAGAACUAUAACAUAAAGUAAUUACUUAAGGGUUAUACACACAUGUACAACCAUACGAAGAACACUUCCCAAUUCCAUUGGUGCUACAUAGAUAAUUUGGACAAUCAGAGUCUGAAGUGCAGGGACCAAAAUAUUCUGUAACAUGAAGAAUAAAUCUAAUGUUAGUUAAUAAUGUGAAAGAUUGAGUAUUAUAGUAUUAUGUUUGACUAAGAAAAGUUGAGUUAUGUAAAUAAGGAAAUUUGAAAAUAUUUAAAAACAAAUGACAUACCGAUGUAGGUUAUAAGAAAUAAGAAAUGGAAGAGGAUAGUAGAAGAAAUGAACAAGAGAGUUUUAGACAUUUUUGUUUGUUUUGUAUGUAAGAAACAAAAUAUUAUUGA